UUAUUAUUAUUAUUUUGCUGUUAUUAGUAUGAAUUUUGUUUGAUGGGAGGCUGGUUGAGUGUGGAAAAGAUUGUAUGGGUCCUUUGUAUUUGAAGGAAGAUUUUCAUAAAAUUCCAGUAUUUUUUUGCAAGUAAUUACUUUUGUGUGUUUGAGCAUUGUACUAUUGUUUCUUGCCAUUUCCAUUCUUAUUUUUGUGUUAUUUGAGGCCAAGCUAUACAUAUUUCUUAGUAACGUACCAGCAAUUAUGUUUCCAUAAUCUUAAUAACUUGCAAAGAUGUGUUGCAAUUACUCUGAACUUUAGUAUUGUAUAAUAUUUCAAUCAGUUGAAUAUAUUUUCAAAUUUUAGUAUCAGAUUCUUUUGGGGAUGUGAGCAAUCUAUAUAAAUCCUUUGUUUCCCUUUUAGAUUGUGAAAGAAAAGGGGAUACUGGAACUUUCGUGACCUUUGAUAAUCAAUACAUUUUGGAAAGCAGUUUUUUCCGUUUCUUAUUACUUGAUGUGGAAGUGGUACUCAUAACAAGAUUUUUUACCAUAAUGUUUAGCUUCAUAGUUGUGCAUAUUUCAGUUGAUCCUCUCUUUUGCUCAUCUUCUGCAGAAAUGGAUGAGUUUGGGAAAUGGGUUGUCUGAAUCCAAAGCUAAAGACUUGAAAAGAAGGAGAUUUGAGUAGUUGGAGCGUUUCCCAAAAGUUUGAUUCACGAAAUUCAGUAUCUUACUAGCUUAUUCAUGAAAACGUUUUUAUGAAAUGUUAUUACUGCUUCUGAGUAAGCCUUUGUUUGGAGCAGGUUGGAAAGGCUCGAGGUGUUGUGGUGUCAAUAGAAUUGUGCUUUUCCCCAAAGUUUCAGAUGCUUUGAAAGAAAAGGGUAUGAAACAAUCGCAGAAUGCAACAACCGCCGCCAAUUGGAAGGGUUCUUUGUUUCUGGACUCUAGCUUUACUUUUGCUUUAACUUUCAAAUCAUCAAAUAAGCUUACGUAGAGACAUGAGUUCAGCCUGAAUAGAAAUAUCCUAAUAUUGAUUUUGGUUUGAUUUUUGUUUCCU
Non-coding RNA from Malus domestica (apple), 1033 nucleotides. The record is from RefSeq and is a predicted model, not a curated record. Lineage: Eukaryota; Viridiplantae; Streptophyta; Magnoliopsida; Rosales; Rosaceae.